Molecule: ribosomal RNA, 394 nt
Filed under: uncultured bacterium
Lineage: Bacteria
Description: bacterial SSU rRNA
Rfam family: Bacterial small subunit ribosomal RNA
Source: RNAcentral
AUUGAACGCUGGCGGCAUGCCUUACACAUGCAAGUCGAACGGCAGCGGGCCUUCGGGUGCCGGCGAGUGGCGAACGGGUGAGUAAUGCAUCGGAACGUGCCAUUGAGUGGGGGGAUAACGUAGCGAAAGUUACGCUAAUACCGCAUAUUCUGUGAGCAGGAAAGCAGGGGACCGCAAGGCCUUGCGCUCUUUGAGCGGCCGAUGUCAGAUUAGCUAGUUGGUGAGGUAAAGGCUUACCAAGGCGACGAUCUGUAGCGGGUCUGAGAGGAUGAUCCGCCACACUGGAACUGAGACACGGUCCAGACUCCUACGGGAGGCAGCAGUGGGGAAUUUUGGACAAUGGGCGCAAGCCUGAUCCAGCCAUGCCGCGUGAGUGAAGAAGGCCUCGGGUUGU